UGAUACUCUUGCAUGUCCGGUGAGGGUCUCCUUCACCGGGUGUUAGGUAAAACCUUUGUGCCACCUUUGUUAUGUAGAACCAUUUCUCGUCACAAUGCACUGUGUUGUUCAUGGCCUUAAACCUUAACGCCAUCAUGAUUCGAUCAUACUCCAAUGCUUUCAAUGAAAAUCGUAGUCGAAGCAAUUUAUUGCGCUUGUGUGGGCUCUGAUCAGCCCUUGAUUAACCCACCUCCAAACGGUGCUUUUGCUUCGAUUGAUCCCCACGGCCAGCCUACGUAUUGUCGAUCGUUUUUGUAGAUCUAAGCUUUGUAUUAGCUCUAGGUCUACAUGAACUCUCUUUCUUCUAGGUGCAUUUGGUUUUGUCACUUAUAAGAUAAAUUUGCUCACCUCUAUCUCUUUGUUUUUUGGCUGCAGCCCAAAGGCGAGUGACAGUCCGCUUCGAUGACUUGAAGAUGGUGACAGCCUCCUUCAUGGCUCCACUCCUUGGCUUGCCAUUUUUCAGAUUUUGAAGAAGAUAUUGGACUAUUCUAUUCCUCUCUUGGUUUGACAGAUUUUUGCUCACCAUUGUUGGUGAUUUCUCUUAUUUUUGCAGUACGUAGAAUAGAUGAAGGGAGUUGUGCAGUACGUAGAAUAGAUGAAGGGAGUUAUUAUGUAUGGGCUGCCACCUUAUUUAUAGAUGUAUGUAGAGGGAAACUCAAAUUCCUUUUGAUUUUUGGUUGUAAAAACUGCCGCCCAAAUUUGGGUACCUUUUUCAAUGAAGUAAAUUUCAUUCUGCCGCCAGAAAGUGUCCGCUCCUUGCUUCCAGUAUUUUUUUUUAUUUUUUUUAUUCUGUCCAAUUUAAAUUAAUUUAAAUUUAAUCCAGAUAUUAAUUAAUCAACUUUAAAUUUAUAAAUGUUAAAAAGUGGAAAAAGUAGUUACAAGAGGUAGUUGGGAUUACCCCAC
RNAcentral lists this long non-coding RNA (942 nucleotides) under Salvia miltiorrhiza (redroot sage). Its description in RNAcentral is "long non-coding RNA (SMIL_LNC000791)". Lineage: Eukaryota; Viridiplantae; Streptophyta; Magnoliopsida; Lamiales; Lamiaceae. The record is from RNAcentral.